CAAUUCUCACCCCCCGCCCUCUGAGAGAAGGCAACCCAGGCUCCGCACUGCACCUAAUAACCGAGGCCCGUGUAGCUACUUCCUCGUUUUGCCUCGCGGUCUCCAUAAACCAGCUCCACCUUACACCCGAACCACGACACCCGCACCACCCCAUCCGUCAGCCGAGGUAACCAGCAAGCGAGUUGCGCUCGUCAGCGACACAAUGAGCAUUGCCCGCCCCUAAACCUUGCGUGGGCGGCGCUGCAAGCCGCAAGCAGCACGUGCGCCAGUCGGCCGAAACGUUCAACGCCGAUGGACGCCCGCUAAUGUUAUCAGUCAAAGCUAUCAAUAUUCUAGAAGUCGACCUGUCGCAAAAGUUAGAGGGCUUGACUACUCCGCACAGUACUCAGCUUCCACGACCCUGUCAGUCGCUUGAAGACAAUGCAAAGACGCGGCACGGGACAAGACAACAGGCAUCACGCUUUCCGGUAACCGAAGGAAGGUGACAGCGGGGAGGGGCAAGUGAACGAGCUGGGAGACAUUGAGUCACGUGAGCAGUACGGCGAUUUCCACGACAUCCUCAAUCGCUUGCAGACAGCGGGAAUCCUCUGAGUGACCUUAUGAUCAGAUGACUACGUGAUCUCUGUGGCAAAAGAGAUAACAGACGAGUUGCAAAACGUCAGAUAACUACCCGGGGUGCUCAGCAGUGUAGUGGUUGAAACAACCACUUGUCAACAUUGCAGUGAAAGACCCUGGGUUCAGAUCUCAUCUCAAGGCACCCGCUGUGUAUGGGACAUGCUCGCAGGACUGGCCGUUGGGGGAUUUCUCCAGAUACUCCAAUUCCCAUCCCCCCUCCUCUACAGAGUGUGAAAUCGACUCAAGGUGGAAGCACAUUCCCACUAAAUCAACCAGCCAGCCAGCCAGCGACCCAGCUAUUCAACCAGCCAUCAUACAGACAACAAUCUUGUACUUUCACCAGCACGUCUUGUGAUAGAACAAAUCGUUAUUUGUUAGUAGAACCACUGCGAUGUCUGGUAUUGUCCUUAAAGCUUUACUGCACAUAAUCAUCAUUUCCAGCGUUGACAUGUUUAUUCUGAAACCUUUAUAUUUACCAAAUUCGCUUUUGUCAGACUCAUGUAACAAAGAAUUUCAAGGCCGUGCUUGUGGAGACCUACUAGCCAACGAAGCAGAAUGGCAGCACUGCGAUGAUGUGUGCUGUAAGACAAUCAACAAAACCUUGCAGCUCACCUGCCACGAGAGACAAACGUUUGUCAAGAGCUUCUACUAUGACUGUGUGUCUACACAACUGACAACACUACCAGCUGCAACAGUCACGACACAAAAGCCCGACACAUCUUCCCCAUACAUGCACGUUCUUUUGAAUGGCGCAAUAGUCUUUGGAAUAUUAAUAAGCAUGGGCAACUUUUUGUUGUUAUGUUGUUAUGUUAUGCAGCCCAUCUAAGACGAUAGAGGCCUAGAUGUUAACGAUAUAUCAGCGAUAAAAGCGCUGAUUUUUUUGUACAUAAUUUGUCACAAUAUUUCCACUUGCAUGUGUGCG
Pomacea canaliculata is the source of this 1537-nucleotide long non-coding RNA. RefSeq lists it as uncharacterized. The transcript is spliced from 3 exons. The record is from RefSeq and is a predicted model, not a curated record. Lineage: Eukaryota; Metazoa; Mollusca; Gastropoda; Architaenioglossa; Ampullariidae.